This 321-nucleotide unclassified non-coding RNA is filed under the name uncultured fungus. Its description in RNAcentral is "partial contains small subunit ribosomal RNA, internal transcribed spacer 1, and 5.8S ribosomal RNA". The stretch from base 1 to 73 matches the Rfam family "Eukaryotic small subunit ribosomal RNA", at positions 1759 to 1831 of the family's 1831-position model. Lineage: Eukaryota; Fungi. The record is from RNAcentral.
GCAAACUUGGUCAUUUAGAGGAAGUAAAAGUCGUAACAAGGUUUUCGUAGGUGAACCUGCGGAAGGAUCAUUACUGAAGCACAAGGGGGAGUGCUGGCCGUAGGGCAUCCGUGCACCCUCCUCACUUCAUCCACACACACCUGUGCACCUUUCGAGGUGAGCCCUCCCGUGCCCGGAGCAGGCCGCUUGGCCCGAGGGCUCUCCUACACUUUCCCACAAACUCGUUUAUUUGACUUGGAACGUAAUCGCGGCGACGCCGCAAACCAAUACACAACUUUCAACAACGGAUCUCUUGGUUCUCGCAUCGAUGAAGAACGCAGC